AUGGUUGACCAAUGGUUUAUUAGU
Molecule: non-coding RNA, 24 nt
Filed under: Arabidopsis thaliana (thale cress)
Lineage: Eukaryota; Viridiplantae; Streptophyta; Magnoliopsida; Brassicales; Brassicaceae
Source: RNAcentral